Molecule: unclassified non-coding RNA, 337 nt
Filed under: soil metagenome
Description: partial contains 5.8S ribosomal RNA, internal transcribed spacer 2, and large subunit ribosomal RNA
Rfam family: 5.8S ribosomal RNA (bases 1-120)
Source: RNAcentral
GAUGAAGAACGCAGCGAAAUGCGAUAAGUAGUGUGAAUUGCAGAAUUCAGUGAAUCAUCGAAUCUUUGAACGCACAUUGCGCCCCUUGGUAUUCCAUGGGGCAUGCCUGUUCGAGCGUCAUUUGUACUCUCAAGCUUUGCUUGGUGUUGGGUGUUUGUCUAGACCUUGCGUAUAGACUCGCCUUAAAUAUAUUGGCAGCCGAUAUUUUGGUUUGAAGCGCAGCACAUUUUGCGUCUUUGGCCUCUAUUUAUCAGCGUCCAAAAAGUAUAAUUAACACGCUUGACCUCGGAUCAGGUAGGGAUACCCGCUGAACUUAAGCAUAUCAAUAAGCGGAGGA